Molecule: long non-coding RNA, 856 nt
Organism: Phragmites australis (common reed)
Lineage: Eukaryota; Viridiplantae; Streptophyta; Magnoliopsida; Poales; Poaceae
Exons: 3
Source: RefSeq, a predicted model, not a curated record
CACCUUUGCCUCGUCCCCUGCCCAAUCUAAGCUCGCCGCAGCGCAGCCCCUAGUCGGCGGAUGCCGUCUGUGACUUCGUGUGCCGCUCCAUAUCCUUCCACACGGGCGCCGCCCUUGAUGAGCCCGUGUUCUCCUCCACCGUCACCGCCACUGGUGGUGGGUUCAGGGAGCGGAUCAGCAACCGCCUUCGCAGGACGUCCAAGAGCCCCUCACCCAUGCACCGCCUCUUGCCACCGCCGUCGCCGCCGCCCGUGCCCGCGGCCUCCGACAGAAGAGGUGGGGGGUAGCGCCAUAUGGGAAGAAGGAGGAGGAGAGGAGAUCCCGCCGAUCCGGUGGCGAAAGGGAGAUCCCAUCGGAGCGGCGCGUUCAGGCAGGUUUACCUCAGCAUGAAUCUGGACUCUGGAGAGCUCAUCACCAUCAAGUAGAUUUUGAUCGGUUAAGAGCUAGAGAGGGAGGCAGUGGAGGCGGAGGCGUAGCUACGGCAGAAGGAGGAGAACGUCGUGCUGAAGCGGCAGAUCGAGGGCUACCACAUUAGGUGGCUGGAGUAUGAGAUCAAGAUCAAGUCCUUGGAGGAAGCCUUCCAUGAACAAAUGGCUGCAUUGCAGAUGGCUCAAGAUGCUGCCGCAAGGGCAGGUGAGACAGCGUAUGAUCACCGGUGAAUCCUUCAAAGUCCCACAUGAAGAUGUCCGAGGAACCGUGGUCACCUUUUGUGAAUUGAAACCAGCAGUUAAGGUUAAUUUCUUCUGAACUCCGGAUCUUGAACAAACUGAGCAAGCAAUUAAAUGGAGAAGACUGGAGUUGGAAUAACCUCAAUACUAUCUGCUGGUCUAUUGGAUCGAUAUCAGGUUCGAUGGUA